Triticum aestivum (bread wheat) is the source of this 1974-nucleotide long non-coding RNA. RefSeq lists it as uncharacterized. The record is from RefSeq and is a predicted model, not a curated record. NCBI's taxonomy places the organism in Eukaryota, Viridiplantae, Streptophyta, Magnoliopsida, Poales, Poaceae. The transcript has 5 exons.
UCUCCCUCGCCUCCUGUCCCAGCUGCCAAGAGGCGCCCCACCCCGUACGACCUCGAUCCGGUGCCGCGCCGAUCUGGCUGCAGGUGCAGCAGCUUGCUCUGGUGGCGACGGGAGAAAGAGAUAUAGGGCGUGAGGGAGAGAAGAACGAGAGGAAGAAAGGAGAAGGUGAAGGGGCACAAGGUGGGGGAGGCGGUCGUUGGUGGUGGUGGUUCCGGUGACCGGCCGGCGAGCUCCUGUUGAGGCGGCGGAGCUCGGUGCGGGAUGGUUCCUCUGGAUCGAGCCUUGGCUCUCCCAAGGCAUGCGAUUGUGGGCUUGGAUCGGGGUGAUCCUUCUCCCCCGCCCUCCCCCUCCAUGGCCAACGGCCCAAGAGAAGAGAUGGCUAUUGAUGAGGCCGAGCUUGAGCCUCUAGAAUUUGCUGAGAAAAUGCACACUCAACAGGAAAUUACAACAACAGUUGCGAAGGCAGUUGGAGAGUGCUGAUUUAGAUACGAGUGUGUCAAUCUUCAGUCCGGAGCAGAUCCAAGGGAUUGUUGAGAAAUACUCCAGUUGACAUAUUUGAAGAGUGGCACCUGUUGGAACCGUCCAACUGGCUCCCGGGGCAAACAUCGCCGCCACCCCACUCUCGAUUACCACCCAAGCUGCUGGCCUCCUUGUGGUGGUGGUCUUCACCCUCUUUCAUCACCAUGAAGCAGAUCAUCGUUGUGACGUUGUCCAGCACUGGCGAGAAGGGUGGCCCGCGUCGAGACGGCCAAGGUUGGGUGGUCUGCAGGUCAGGCUCGUUGGAAUGGUGACUGGUAAGUUGGAGAGGAAUACAAAUGUGUCCUUCACCCUCGACAAUGACACUGGCUGCAUCAAUUUUUCAUCAGAUGGUGAGAACGUCUCAUUGAAUUGCACACUUUCUAAUGAAGUUUCAGAUGUAUCUUAGGGGUACAAUGUUAUACUUCUGUGCUCCCAGUGCCACUGCUGGAUGUUGACUUGGUUGUGGGAUUUGUCAAAUGCCAAUCUUAAAUAGAAAUAAGUUAGGCUGGUUGUUACGACAAUGCAGGCACCUAGCAAAACUUAGUAACUGGAAAUCUGCAAGUUCUUAAUCAUCUCUGGUUUGAUAAAAUAACUAUUUGAGAGAGAGAUAUUACAGUAAAGUUCUUAAACUUUGCGGUAGAUGGAUUUUGCGGCUUUGGAUUUUCCUCUCUCUUGAUUUUUCUAAUUAAUGUGGCUGUAGAAACUUGAGGCUGAAUUUAUUAAUUGGUGUGCACGAUUGUGCAAUUAUUUUACAAAUUCGUUGAAAGCUCCGUUGGUAGGUUUGCUUACUUGUUUUUAUUGCUUGUGUUGUUACAUCUUAGAAGAAGUUCAGAAGAACUUUAGUGUGACAUAUUUUCCAUCAUGCACAAAUGUGUGAUAGAUUUAGGACAACCAAUGUAGAGAAAAAUUAAGCGGUAAGGUCAACUCAUACAAAUUGCAGGUAUAAUGGACUAGACUGAUUACUGUUAUUUUAGCCAGCGUCAACAAAGAGAAGAGUGGCCGUGUGAUGCUUACAUUGUGGAGAUCCUGCUAUCUAUGAAAUGACAUCAUCCAUGGGCGAUGCUAAAAGUUCUAUUCAAAGCUGGGUUGAGUUCUUGGUUAAUUAUGUGAAGAUGAUUAAUGGAGACUACAAAAAGGAUUAUCUCAAGAAAUCGUUGCAGGCAUAUUUCUGCAAUCUGUAAUUCCUUUGCUAAACAUAGCAAUUGUGUAGCUCAUGAUCUUGCUUCCCUCGCUAGAGUGUCAGAUAUUUCUGAAACCUGGGUGGGCAGUAUGGUGUUAUGCAAAUGACUUUGUUAAGUAAUCCAGUAUUUAUAUAUAAGCAUAGGUUCUGUCGAAAAAAGUAUUGGCAGGAACUUACAACCAUUAAUGCACAUUAUCUGUUGGUUAAGUACUCAAAGGAGUAUGUCGAGAUUUAGAAGUUGUUUUACUGUGCACAUUAUUAAAUGGUAUUUGAUG